RNAcentral lists this small nuclear RNA (333 nucleotides) under Nannospalax galili (Upper Galilee mountains blind mole rat). Its description in RNAcentral is "7SK RNA (ENSNGAG00000005910.1)". It matches the Rfam family "7SK RNA". From Rfam's summary of the family: 7SK was discovered as an abundant small nuclear RNA in the mid-70s but a possible function has only recently been suggested. Two independent studies have found that 7SK RNA binds the CDK9/cyclin T complex (known as elongation factor P-TEFb). The record is from Rfam by way of RNAcentral. Lineage: Eukaryota; Metazoa; Chordata; Mammalia; Rodentia; Spalacidae.
GAGUAUAAGAGAAAGCUGGCUGUGACAUCUGUCACCCCACUGAAUUCCAGGGUUUAUCCAGCUGAUCUGCCUGGUUAGGUAAGUGUCCCCUUUCUCCCUCAAUGCUCCAUGUGUGACCCUCCCAAAACUGUGUGCUCCGUCCAAGAAGGCGACCUUCCCCAAUAGAAGAGGACUGGUCUUCAGUCAAGGGUAUAGCUGCGCUUCCCUGCCAGAAACUCCAAACAAGCUUGAAAGAGUUGUCUAAGUUCAAAGAAAAGGUUGUUAUGGUCUGUGGUAGACAGAGAUGGAGCCUUAAGAGAUAUAACCCUUGAGCUUAAAAGCGAAAGCUUUAAG